UGGGGAAUAUUGGACAAUGGGCGAAAGCCUGAUCCAGCCAUGCCGCGUGUGUGAAGAAGGUCUUCGGAUUGUAAAGCACUUUAAGUUGGGAGGAAGGGCAUUAACCUAAUACGUUAGUGUUUUGACGUUACCGACAGAAUAAGCACCGGCUAACUCUGUGCCAGCAGCCGCGGUAAUACAGAGGGUGCAAGCGUUAAUCGGAAUUACUGGGCGUAAAGCGCGCGUAGGUGGUUUGUUAAGUUGGAUGUGAAAUCCCCGGGCUCAACCUGGGAACUGCAUUCAAAACUGAUUGACUAGAGUAUGGUAGAGGGUGGUGGAAUUUCCUGUGUAGCGGUGAAAUGCGUAGAUAUAGGAAGGAACACCAGUGGCGAAGGCGACCACCUGGACUAAUACUGACACUGAGGUGCGAAAGCGUGGGGAGCAAACA
Molecule: ribosomal RNA, 427 nt
Filed under: uncultured bacterium
Lineage: Bacteria
Description: partial 16S ribosomal RNA
Rfam family: Bacterial small subunit ribosomal RNA
Source: RNAcentral